Molecule: ribosomal RNA, 643 nt
Filed under: uncultured Actinomycetes bacterium
Lineage: Bacteria; Bacillati; Actinomycetota; Actinomycetes
Description: bacterial SSU rRNA
Rfam family: Bacterial small subunit ribosomal RNA
Source: RNAcentral
CGCGGCCUAUCAGCUUGUUGGUGAGGUAACGGCCCACCAAGGCGACGACGGGUAGCCGGCCUGAGAGGGUGACCGGCCACACUGGGACUGAGACACGGCCCAGACUCCUACGGGAGGCAGCAGUGGGGAAUAUUGCACAAUGGGCGCAAGCCUGAUGCAGCAACGCCGCGUGAGGGACGACGGCCUUCGGGUUGUAAACCUCUUUUAGCAGGGAAGAAGCGAAAGUGACGGUACCUGCAGAAAAAGCACCGGCUAACUACGUGCCAGCAGCCGCGGUAAUACGUAGGGUGCAAGCGUUGUCCGGAAUUAUUGGGCGUAAAGAGCUCGUAGGCGGUUUGUCGCGUCUGCUGUGAAAAUCCGAGGCUCAACCUCGGACCUGCAGUGGGUACGGGCAAACUAGAGUGCGGUAGGGGAGAUUGGAAUUCCUGGUGUAGCGGUGGAAUGCGCAGAUAUCAGGAGGAACACCAAUGGCGAAGGCAGAUCUCUGGGCCGUAACUGACGCUGAGGAGCGAAAGCGUGGGGAGCGAACAGGAUUAGAUACCCUGGUAGUCCACGCCGUAAACGGUGGGAACUAGAUGUGGGGUCCGUUCCACGGAUUCCGUGUCGCAGCUAACGCAUUAAGUUCCCCGCCUGGGGAGUACGG